AUUGAACGCUGGCGGCAGGCCUAACACAUGCAAGUCGGGCGGCAGCGGGGGAAAGCGUGCUUUCCUGCCGGCGAGCGGCGGACGGGUGAGUAAUGUCUGGGGAUCUGCCCGAUGGAGGGGGAUAACCACUGGAAACGGUGGCUAAUACCGCAUGAACUCUGAGGAGCAAGGUGGGGGACCUUCGGGCCUCACGCCAUCGGAUGAACCCAGAUGGGAUUAGCUAGUAGGUGGGGUAACGGCUCACCUAGGCGACGAUCCCUAGCUGGUCUGAGAGGAUGACCAGCCACACUGGGACUGAGACACGGCCCAGACUCCUACGGGAGGCAGCAGUGGGGAAUAUUGCACAAUGGGCGCAAGCCUGAUGCAGCCAUGCCGCGUGUAUGAAGAAGGCCUUCGGGUUGUAAAGUACUUUCAGCGGGGAGGAAGGCGUGAAACCGAAUACG
This 443-nucleotide ribosomal RNA is filed under the name Xenorhabdus sp. RNAcentral's name for it is "bacterial SSU rRNA". It matches the Rfam family "Bacterial small subunit ribosomal RNA", at positions 29 to 466 of the family's 1533-position model. The record is from RNAcentral. Lineage: Bacteria; Pseudomonadati; Pseudomonadota; Gammaproteobacteria; Enterobacterales; Morganellaceae.